This 460-nucleotide ribosomal RNA is filed under the name uncultured bacterium. RNAcentral describes it as "partial 16S ribosomal RNA". It matches the Rfam family "Bacterial small subunit ribosomal RNA", at positions 338 to 795 of the family's 1533-position model. The record is from RNAcentral.
CCUACGGGUGGCAGCAGUGAGGAAUAUUGGUCAAUGGACGCGAGUCUGAACCAGCCAAGUAGCGUGAAGGAUGACUGCCCUAUGGGUUGUAAACUUCUUUUAUAUGGGAAUAAAACGUUCCACGUGUGGGAUUUUGUAUGUACCAUAUGAAUAAGGAUCGGCUAACUCCGUGCCAGCAGCCGAGGUAAUACGGAGGAUCCGAGCGUUGUCCGGAUUUAUUGGGUUUAAAGGGAGCGUAGGUGGAUUGUUAAGUCAGUUGUGAAAGUUUGCGGCUCAACCGUAAAAUUGCAGUUGAAACUGGCAGUCUUGAGUACAGUAGAGGUGGGCGGAAUUCGUGGUGUAGCGGUGAAAUGCUUAGAUAUCACGAAGAACUCCGAUUGCGAAGGCAGUUCACUGGACUGCAACUGACACUGAGGCUCGAAAGUGUGGGUAUCAAACAGGAUUAGAUACCCCAGUAGUC